RNAcentral lists this unclassified non-coding RNA (247 nucleotides) under uncultured fungus. RNAcentral describes it as "sequence contains ITS1, 5.8S rRNA gene". The stretch from base 199 to 247 matches the Rfam family "5.8S ribosomal RNA", at positions 1 to 49 of the family's 154-position model. The record is from RNAcentral. Lineage: Eukaryota; Fungi.
UCUCCGUUGGUGAACCAGCGGAGGGAUCAUUACAGAGUCGUAAAACACUCCCAAACCCAUGUGAACUUACCUAUGUUGCCUCGGUGGGAGCCUACCCUGUACCUACCCUGUAACGGGUUACCCGGGAGCGGCCCCACCGGUGGACCAUUAAACUCUUGUUAUUCUAUGGAUAUCUGAGCGUCUUAUUUAAUAAGUUAAAACUUUCAACAACGGAUCUCUUGGUUCUGGCAUCGAUGAAGAACGCAGC